RNAcentral lists this long non-coding RNA (464 nucleotides) under Macaca mulatta (Rhesus monkey). Its description in RNAcentral is "lncRNA (ENSMMUG00000053900.1)". The record is from RNAcentral. Lineage: Eukaryota; Metazoa; Chordata; Mammalia; Primates; Cercopithecidae.
AUGCAUCGAACUCACAGAACAUCGCUCCCCAGCUGCCGGCCUGCAGUUCUGAGAGUGCCUGAAUAGAAAACCACUCAUUUCCCUUCGCAAUAGAGGCGCCCAAAGCAGAUAUGUCAAUAUAUUCCAAUUUAGCCGAGGGAAGCCAGAACAUGGAUGUUGUUGCCAAGGAAACCACCUCCUUCCUCCUGUGUGCCGUGCAUACGUGUAUCACUUCAUCUCUCUGCUCUCCAAGCUGGAAUCCAGAUCUGACGUGGAUCUCCUGCCCCAGUUCUGAAGUCUACCUGGUGCCCCAGCCGAACCUGCCCUGGCUCCUGCGUGGGGUAUGGACAUCUGUGGCAUCCCUCCCUAACACCCCACCAAGCUGGGCUGCAAGACAGGUUAUGGUGGCCCCAUGACUUCGUUCCUUGGCUUAUUUCCAUGAAGUUCUUCAGAGUUAGAAGCAUGAACUUUAGAAUGAGGUGACC